UUAAUGGGCGCAAGCCUGAAGCAGCAACGCCGCGUGUGCGAUGACGGCCUUCGGGUUGUAAAGCACUUUUAGGUGGGAAGAGGAAGGACGGUACCACCUGAAUAAGCCUCGGCUAACUACGUGCCAGCAGCCGCGGUAAAACGUAGGAGGCGAGCGUUAUCCGGAUUUACUGGGUGUAAAGCGCGUGCAGGCGGUUCGUUAAGUUGGAUGUGAAAGCUCCCGGCUCAACUGGGAGAGGUCGUACAAGGCUGGCGGACUGGAGUGUGGUAGGGGAAGGUGGAAUUCCGGGUGUAGUGGUGAAAUGCGUAGAUAUCCGGAGGAACACCAGUGGCGAAGGCGGCCUUCUAGACCACAACUGACGCUCAGACGCGAAAGCUAGGGUAGCAAACGGGAUUAGAGACCCCGGUAGUCCUAGCCGUAAACGAUGUGAACUUGGCGGCGGUUGGGUAAAACCGAUCGGUGCCGAAGCAAACGCGAUAAGUUCACCACCUGGGGACUACGGCCGCAAGGUUA
This 513-nucleotide ribosomal RNA is filed under the name uncultured Chloroflexota bacterium. RNAcentral describes it as "bacterial SSU rRNA". It matches the Rfam family "Bacterial small subunit ribosomal RNA", at positions 368 to 896 of the family's 1533-position model. Lineage: Bacteria; Bacillati; Chloroflexota. The record is from RNAcentral.